ACCUGCUGGCUCAGUUGGUAGAGCAUCUGACUCUUGAUCUCAGGGUUGUGGGUUCAAACUCCAUGUUAGGUG
Molecule: transfer RNA, 72 nt
Filed under: Felis catus (domestic cat)
Lineage: Eukaryota; Metazoa; Chordata; Mammalia; Carnivora; Felidae
Rfam family: tRNA
About the family: Transfer RNA (tRNA) molecules are approximately 80 nucleotides in length. Their secondary structure includes four short double-helical elements and three loops (D, anti-codon, and T loops).
Source: Rfam by way of RNAcentral